UAUCGAGUACCAAUUUCUCGCUGCUCCCUUCAAGAUGGAUGGGAAAGCUCGGCACAGGAUGGCGUCUGACGUGCCAUGGAGCAACAUCAUUGUCCGAAAGACCUCCAGAUGAUCGAUCGGGUCUGAGGUCCCAUCGUAGCUCUCAAAUUGAGAGAGCUUAAAGUUCGAUGGGAUCGGUUCCUGCAUGAUCAUUUGAGAAAAAGGAGGAUCAGUACAGAUAUCCUCACCGUAAGCAGGGGGAGCACGGUGGAGCUCUUCGAUCCAUCGAUUCAUCUCUUGAAACCUUCGAUCCAGGAGAUCCUCUUGGCCGUGAGUCUCAAGGGUCUUCUGGGUGAACGGAGGUAGAGACCCUCCGGGGGUAGAAUCAUGGUCAGACAGAGGGCUCUCCGCCUUCUAUUUUCCCUUUUCAGAGGAUACAGGGCGACUGGCCCAAGUAGGCCGCCCGAUCGUCGGA
RNAcentral lists this long non-coding RNA (454 nucleotides) under Elaeis guineensis (African oil palm). Its description in RNAcentral is "long non-coding RNA (EGUI_LNC011497)". The record is from RNAcentral. Lineage: Eukaryota; Viridiplantae; Streptophyta; Magnoliopsida; Arecales; Arecaceae.